Anolis carolinensis (green anole) is the source of this 99-nucleotide microRNA precursor. Ensembl annotates it as aca-let-7c-2. Its record names the gene aca-let-7c-2. The record is from Ensembl. Lineage: Eukaryota; Metazoa; Chordata; Lepidosauria; Squamata; Anolidae.
CCGGCGUGCCUCGAGUUGAGGUAGUAGGUUGUAUGGUUUAGAAUAACACCAUCAGGAGAUAACUGUACAGCCUCCUAGCUUUCCCCGGGGCAACGCCAC